UACGUAGGGGGCAAGCGUUGUUCGGAAUUACUGGGCGUAAAGGGCGCGUAGGCGGCACGGCAAGUCAGGAGUGAAAGGCCUGGGCUCAACCGAGGAACUGCUUUUGAGACUGCCGAGCUAGAGUGCGGAAGGGGCAACUGGAAUUCCCAGUGUAGCGGUGAAAUGCGUAGAUAUCAGGAGGAACACCGAUGGCGAAGGCAGGUCUCUGGGCAUUAACUGACGCUGAGGAGCGAAAGCAUGGGGAGCGAACAGG
RNAcentral lists this ribosomal RNA (253 nucleotides) under uncultured bacterium. Its description in RNAcentral is "partial 16S ribosomal RNA". It matches the Rfam family "Bacterial small subunit ribosomal RNA", at positions 524 to 776 of the family's 1533-position model. The record is from RNAcentral.